CCAGACUCCUACGGGAGGCAGCAGUGGGGAAUAUUGGGCAAUGGGCGCAAGCCUGACCCAGCAACGCCGCGUGAAGGAAGAAGGCCUUCGGGUUGUAAACUUCUUUUCUUGGGGACGAAGAAAGUGACGGUACCCAAGGAAUAAGCCACGGCUAACUACGUGCCAGCAGCCGCGGUAAUACGUAGGUGGCAAGCGUUAUCCGGAUUUAUUGGGUGUAAAGGGCGUGUAGGCGGGAAUGCAAGUCAGAUGUGAAAACUAUGGGCUCAACCCAUAGCCUGCAUUUGAAACUGUAUUUCUUGAGUGCUGGAGAGGCAAUCGGAAUUCCGUGUGUAGCGGUGAAAUGCGUAGAUAUUAGGAGGAACACCAGUGGCGAAGGCGGCCUGCUGGGCUUUAACUGACGCUGAGGCUCGAAAGCGUGGGGAGCAAACAGGAUUAGAUACCCCGGUAA
This 448-nucleotide ribosomal RNA is filed under the name uncultured bacterium. Its description in RNAcentral is "bacterial SSU rRNA". It matches the Rfam family "Bacterial small subunit ribosomal RNA", at positions 331 to 793 of the family's 1533-position model. The record is from RNAcentral.